UGGAGACCUGGAGGACCUGGAGGUCUGGAGGUCUGGAGGACCUGGAGGUCUGGAGGUCCUGGAGGUCUGGAGGACCUGGAGGACCUGGAGGUCUGGAGGUCUGGAGGUCCCGGCCCUGAACAUCGGGGCCUGAUGACAUCAUCGAUCCUCCCGACUCUGUGAUGACACGUCACCUGCAGCUUGUGCAGGACUUCCUCUGCAGGUGUAUUCAAAAGUAAAGGAUCACUAUUUGCCGAGUCGUGCUGUUGGGUUCGGGGUCGUGACCCCGUGACCCUGUGUAUGUGUUGGAGCGUAUGGAGCGUGGUCACACCAGUUCCACCGCGUGUCUCCUAAACAUGGUGAUCUGUUUCCAUUUAAGCAGCUCCUCAACAAAUUGUUUUUUUAAAUGGUAAGACGUCAGAUUAUGUUUUAAAACUGAAAAAAUACUUUUAAUCUGAGGAAAAAUUAAUCAGAACACAGAAAUAAUGAGAAGGUUUGAUCUCAGAUGAGACUUUCAGCCAAUAGGAACAUAAAGUUUUUAAUCAAUACUACCUGACAACCCUCAGAGGAAUGUCUGAUUAAAGGGUUUUCCAUAUUUAAAUGUCUUAAGUACACUAUAGUACAUCAUGUGCUUCAGUGUUUUGAUUCUGUAGUGAAACUGAUUUCUUGACUGUGAUGUUGUUGUGUUCCUCCAGAGAGACAACAUGACCGCCUGUUCUCCCUCCUUCAUGUUGGUGCAUUGAUAGCAAACACUGAUGUGCCUUCUCUUAAAUAGAAGAGCCCGCAGUGUGUGUGUGUGUGUGUCACUGUCGCAUUGAGCCACUAACACAACACACACUCUUUUAUGAUAUAGGACUUCAAAAGACUCCGAGCUGUCUCCGUCAGUCUCGUUUUCUGACGCUCGCUGACCAGCGGAGACGUGGUGAUGCCAGACGCUCCUCCGAGAGCAGCGUUCUGGUUUAUGACUCAAAUUAACUUUAUAGGUCAAGAGAGGAUCCAAACAUACUUUUAUUUUGAAGCUGGCAUGCUCCAUCAAAGAGACCUUCUAGUACUUUGUGAUUUUAGGUAAUAAAUCAACCAUUGAGACCAA
Pseudoliparis swirei is the source of this 1069-nucleotide long non-coding RNA. RefSeq lists it as uncharacterized. NCBI's taxonomy places the organism in Eukaryota, Metazoa, Chordata, Actinopteri, Perciformes, Liparidae. The transcript is spliced from 2 exons. The record is from RefSeq and is a predicted model, not a curated record.